This 864-nucleotide ribosomal RNA is filed under the name uncultured Bacillota bacterium. RNAcentral describes it as "bacterial SSU rRNA". It matches the Rfam family "Bacterial small subunit ribosomal RNA", at positions 1 to 858 of the family's 1533-position model. The record is from RNAcentral. Lineage: Bacteria; Bacillati; Bacillota.
GGAUCCAGACUUUGAUCCUGGCUCAGGAUGAACGCUAGCUACAGGCUUAACACAUGCAAGUCGAGGGGCAGCGGGAUUGAAGCUUGCUUCAAUUGCCGGCGACCGGCGCACGGGUGAGUAACGCGUAUCCAACCUUCCGUACACUCAGGGAUAGCCUUUCGAAAGAAAGAUUAAUACCUGAUGGUAUGAUGAGAUUGCAUGAUAGCAUCAUUAAAGAUUUAUCGGUGUACGAUGGGGAUGCGUUCCAUUAGGUAGUAGGCGGGGUAACGGCCCACCUAGCCAACGAUGGAUAGGGGUUCUGAGAGGAAGGUCCCCCACAUUGGAACUGAGACACGGUCCAAACUCCUACGGGAGGCAGCAGUGAGGAAUAUUGGUCAAUGGACGAGAGUCUGAACCAGCCAAGUAGCGUGAAGGAUGAAGGUCCUACGGAUUGUAAACUUCUUUUAUAAGGGAAUAAACCCUCCCACGUGUGGGAGCUUGUAUGUACCUUAUGAAUAAGCAUCGGCUAACUCCGUGCCAGCAGCCGCGGUAAUACGGAGGAUGCGAGCGUUAUCCGGAUUUAUUGGGUUUAAAGGGAGCGCAGACGGGUCGUUAAGUCAGCUGUGAAAGUUUGGGGCUCAACCUUAAAAUUGCAGUUGAUACUGGCGUCCUUGAGUGCGGUUGAGGUGUGCGGAAUUCGUGGUGUAGCGGUGAAAUGCUUAGAUAUCACGAAGAACUCCGAUUGCGAAGGCAGCACACUAAUCCGUAACUGACGUUCAUGCUCGAAAGUGUGGGUAUCAAACAGGAUUAGAUACCCUGGUAGUCCACACGGUAAACGAUGGAUACUCGCUGUUGGCGAUAUACUGUCAGCGGCUUAGCGAAAGC